CGCCAAGAUGCGAUGUGUGGGUUUCACAUGAUUUCAGCGAAGCGGGCAACAAACCAAGCGUGGGGAGAGUUUACAUCCUAAAACCACCAAGGUAUCCAGGCAGACACAUUAUGUAAUAUGCUACAAAUUCAAGUACAGUACAUCCGCCUACAUCAUUACUGUGAUGUUUCCGGAAUUUCAAACCAUCCCAGCGGCUGGAGCAUCUGCUAACAUCAGUGUAACUGUGUAUGUGUGUGUGUGUGCUGCUUUGAACAAAGUCUGUAGAUGAACUGCUUUUAUUUUGUGCUCCAACAGAAUGGGAUCUGAUUGGUUAGGUUGUUCUAAACAAUGUGCAUCAUCAGUGUUACAGACAAGGAAUUUCCAGCUCAUGAUUUUGGUGGUGUGGUAAUGUUUGUUUUUCACGCUGGUUUAAGCGCACUUUCUCGCUCAGCACUCUUAAAUCAGGAUUAGAAGCUUAGACACAAUCAUCUCCUAAUUGGAUCAUGGCAGCUCUGUAGAACAGCUUAAGACAGGCCACUGGCCUCUCCCUCUUUCUCCUAUCUAACCUGGUUAGAGAUAAAUAAUGCACUUUGUCCCCAAGUCAUGUCAAACUGAUAAUGCAUACAUCCAUGUGAUAUUUUACAUUAAAAUCAAAAUAAAUAAAUAAAUUUGUUUAGAGAGAAGCCUGUUAUAGGACAGUUUCUAUGACAUUUACAGUUAUUUAUUUAUUACUCAUUUAAUUUUUAAUGUUAAGCAUUAGCACAAGGUCUAACAAGUGUAAAAAAUAAAAAUAAAAAAAGAAAAUAAAAAAAAGAAAUACAAUUUGUUUGACCCUUUAUUUCAUGUCACUGGUGUUAAUGUAAAAAAAAAAAAAUAUUGUGAUGUGACAUUUUUUCAUGACAAUUAAACGAAUUUAUGAAAAAAAUCAAUAAUAUUUCACAAUGUUACAGUUUUGUUUUUGAUUAAAUAAAUGCAGCCUUAAUUGCUGUGCCCCAGUAUUGCUGAAAGGCUAG
Long non-coding RNA from Cyprinus carpio carpio, 992 nucleotides. The record is from Ensembl. Lineage: Eukaryota; Metazoa; Chordata; Actinopteri; Cypriniformes; Cyprinidae.